CGUUCCUCCUGAAGGCCUGCUGGUCACUGUAAAGAUGAGGCUUGGCUCAACAAGUCUGACCGAACAACUGCAGUUAAUGAACUGUUCUGAUAUGAGUGGACCACCAACCCGAGUCUUGUGUCAGCAGUGUAUCAAAGCCGGCUGUGAAUGGAGCAACAACAGCUGUUCCUGGGCUAAUGAACGAC
This is a long non-coding RNA of Salarias fasciatus (jewelled blenny), 185 nucleotides long. RefSeq lists it as uncharacterized. Lineage: Eukaryota; Metazoa; Chordata; Actinopteri; Blenniiformes; Blenniidae. The record is from RefSeq and is a predicted model, not a curated record. The transcript is spliced from 3 exons.